GAGAAAUGGUAAAUUUGAAAGGACAGCUUAGGGAAGCCAAGCAAAUAACUGACACUGCUCAUGGCUGGGAAGCCUACAAGAGACCUUAUUCUGCCCCAAGACCUCCUGUAUAAAAAAGAAUGUCUGUUUGCUGCUGACAGUGAGAAACAUGCUGCCUGAGAACAUGUCAUCAUUGCAGCAGAGGAAUCCGUUCUUUUUAUCCCAGCUACACUGAUAAAAUUGCA
Long non-coding RNA from Motacilla alba alba, 224 nucleotides. RefSeq lists it as uncharacterized. The record is from RefSeq and is a predicted model, not a curated record. The transcript is spliced from 3 exons. Lineage: Eukaryota; Metazoa; Chordata; Aves; Passeriformes; Motacillidae.